RNAcentral lists this ribosomal RNA (430 nucleotides) under uncultured bacterium. Its description in RNAcentral is "partial 16S ribosomal RNA". It matches the Rfam family "Bacterial small subunit ribosomal RNA", at positions 29 to 507 of the family's 1533-position model. The record is from RNAcentral.
ACGCACGCUGGCGGCAGGCUUCACACAUGCAAGUCGAGCGCCCCGCAAGGGGAGCGGCAGCCGGGUGAGUAACGCGUGGGAACGUACCUUUUGGUUCGGAACAACUCCGGGAAACUGGAGCUAAUACCGGAUAAGCCCUAACGGGGAAAGAUUUAUCGCCGAAAGAUCGGCCCGCGUCUGAUUAGCUAGUUGGUGAGGUAACGGCUCACCAAGGCGACGAUCAGUAGCUGGUCUGAGAGGAUGAUCAGCCACACUGGGACUGAGACACGGCCCAGACUCCUACGGGAGGCAGCAGUGGGGAAUAUUGGACAAUGGGCGCAGGCCUGAUCCAGCCAUGCCGCGUGAGUGAUGAAGGCCUUAGGGUUGUAAAGCUCUUUUGUCCGGGAAGAUAAUGACUGUACCGGAAGAAUAAGCCCCGGCUAACUUCGUG